Tachyglossus aculeatus (Australian echidna) is the source of this 138-nucleotide small nucleolar RNA. The record is from RefSeq and is a predicted model, not a curated record. Lineage: Eukaryota; Metazoa; Chordata; Mammalia; Monotremata; Tachyglossidae.
CCCCUCUCAGAGUCACACUUGGAGAGUUUCCAGUACUCUCCCAGUCUUGACUACAGAAGGAAGAGUGACGCAGAGGCCUAUCCAUUCCAUUCCUAGCUUGGGCAGUUGCUAGUGAGUGGAAGACGAUCUGUUACAAGU